GAUGAACGCUGGCGGCGUGCCUAAUACAUGCAAGUCGAGCGAACGGACGAGACGCUUGCUUCUCUGAUGUUAGCGGCGGACGGGUGAGUAACACGUGGCUAACCUACCUAUAAGACUGGGAUAACUUCGGGAAACCGGAGCUAAUACCGGAUAAUAUUUUGAACCGCAUGGUUCAAAAGUGAAAGACGGUCUUGCUGUCACUUAUAGAUGGAUCCGCGCUGCAUUAGCUAGUUGGUAAGGUAACGGCUUACCAAGGCAACGAUGCAUAGCCGACCUGAGAGGGUGAUCGGCCACACUGGAACUGAGACACGGUCCAGACUCCUACGGGAGGCAGCAGUAGGGAAUCUUCCGCAAUGGGCGAAAGCCUGACGGAGCAACGCCGCGUGAGUGAUGAAGGUCUUCGGAUCGUAAAACUCUGUUAUUAGGGAAGAACAUAUGUGUAAGUAACUGUGCACAUCUUGACGGUACCUAAUCAGAAAGCCACGGCUAACUACGUG
Molecule: ribosomal RNA, 497 nt
Filed under: uncultured bacterium
Lineage: Bacteria
Description: partial 16S ribosomal RNA
Rfam family: Bacterial small subunit ribosomal RNA
Source: RNAcentral